This is a long non-coding RNA of Equus caballus (horse), 1063 nucleotides long. RefSeq lists it as uncharacterized. NCBI's taxonomy places the organism in Eukaryota, Metazoa, Chordata, Mammalia, Perissodactyla, Equidae. The record is from RefSeq and is a predicted model, not a curated record.
CUUCUUACCUGGAGGCUCAUAAACCUGAGAUGCCCAACUGCCCAGGGGGCAGCAAUAUAACUCAUUGGGACCCUUUGUGUGUCCCCUGGUGAAAGGGUGUCCUUUUGGGGAGUGAGGGUCUCUAGCCGCGUGGAGCCCCACGGUGGGGGAACGGGAAGUGCAAAGUCCUGGUGGAUCGCUGGGGGUCCCCUGCUUCUGUCCCUUGGCUCCUGGACCCCUGCAUUUGUUUACCUGCUGGAGACACAGAGGCACAUAAAGGCGGAUACCGUGUAUAUGCUGCAUCCUGCAGGACGUCCCCAUCCUUCCAGAGGCCUGGCCCCGAGCUGGAGCUACAGAGGCGCCCUUAGCAGACAGUUCCAACACUGUCGGGCCAGCAGCUUCUAGUGGAUCCUAACCAACUGUCCAGGCCGCUCAUCACCACUCCUGAGUCCAUCUGUGUUCCAACCUCUGGCUGCUUCUCUUCCCACGCAAAGUGGCAUGGCCUUGCUCUAGAAGUCCAGGGCCCUGUGUUGUGAAUGUCCAGCUCAGCAAGCGGCAAACUCCAAUGACAUCUUUUCCUGCCACCGAUACCUCCACCCCGGUGAGGCUGCUGGAUCCUAUGGGCCAGGAGGCUGCCCGGCUGGGAGGAUCCUUUAGGUUUCUGCACAGGCCAGUUGAAGAAUUAACCAGAGACUUGAUGCGGACCAACACCUGCAUCCUCCAUCUCCUUAAAGAUGCUCACUUCUCUGACAGCGUGGGCACCUCCUGGCCGUCCGUCAACACUGGUCUCUCAUCUGAGACCUUCCCACUGGCCACCCUGCAGAGAUGGUGUGAUUGCUGCUUACAAUGUGCCUAGCAUGGACCUUGGCAUACAACAGGCACUCAACAAAUGUUUAUUGACUGGAUGCCGAAAUCAGCAGACCUAAUGAAACUGCAGCCUGUCCUUCUCCAGGCUCCGGAAUAUUUAAGUGAAGGGGAAACAAAGAGGCUGGGUGACGUCUGAGGGCUUGGGUAAGGGAUCUUGGUCUCGUUAAUGACUUCAGUUCCAGGGCCCACCCCAGAGUGAGGGGUCACUGAAAUAUUU